This is a long non-coding RNA of Eriocheir sinensis (Chinese mitten crab), 2338 nucleotides long. RefSeq lists it as uncharacterized. The transcript is spliced from 2 exons. The record is from RefSeq and is a predicted model, not a curated record. NCBI's taxonomy places the organism in Eukaryota, Metazoa, Arthropoda, Malacostraca, Decapoda, Varunidae.
GUUGGGUCUAAAAUGCAAAGGUUCUCGCUACGGAUUUUGCCCGGACUGGUUAACACGAAGGUCGAUAUGUACGUGUUAUUAUCCAGAUGAAAUGUUAAGGAAUUCAAGGUUGCUUUGGGUUUGUUUAUGGGGAAGCAUGGGAAUAUUGUUUACUUCUGUUUCUCUCUUUUAUGUCCGAUGAAACUAAGGAAACUCCCGACCAUUCCUUAAAUACACAAAGAAAAACGUGGUACUUUUUAUGGGUAUAUCUCCAUUUGUUUCCCUCCUUUUGUAUGAGCGUAAAGAAACUCCGGCCUUAAUCACAGGGAGAGAAACGCGAGCAAAUUUUUACGAAUAUUUCUCCACCGAUUUGCUUCUCUUGUGUCCUAUGAAAUUAAAGGAACUCCAAGUAGUUUUUAAUUAAACAAAACGGAUGAAUUAGGGUAUUUCUCCAUUUCUCUUCUUUCCCAUAAACGUAAAGAAACUCCAAGCGGUUUUCAGUUACACGAGAAACAUAUGAAUUUAGUUAUUUCUCUGUUUUUUUUUUACUUUCCCAUAAACGUAAAGAAACUCCAAGUGGUUUUUAGCUACAUGAGAAACAUAUGAAUUUAGUUAUUUCUGUUUUUUUACUUUUCCAUAAACAUAAAGAAACUCCAAGUGGUUUUUAGUGACACGAGAAACAGAUGAAUUUAGUUAUUUCUCUGGUUGUUUUCCUUCCCAUAAACAUAAAGAAACUCCAAGCGGUUUUUAGUUACAUGAGAAACACGCAUUUAGUUAUUUCUCUGGUUGUCUUCCUUCUCAUAAACACCAAGAAACUCCAAGUGGUUUAUGGUGACACGAGAAACAUGAAUUUAAUUACUUUUCAGGAUCUGCUCUUUCUAUAAACAUGAAGAAACUUACACGAGAAACAUAUGAGUUUAGUUAUUUCUCUGGUUGUUUUCCUUCUCAUAAACGUAAAGAAACUCCAAGCGGUUUUUAGUUACACAAGAAACAUAUGAAUUUAAUUACUUUUCAGGAUCUGUUCUUCCCAUAAACAUAAAGAAACUCCAAGCGGUUUGUAGUUACACAAGAAACAUGAAUUUUAGUUAUUUCUCCGUUUCUCUGUUCCCCAUAAGCAUAAGAAACUCCAAACUGUUUCUUAAAUACAUAAAGAAACUCCGUAAAUUAUUCCUCCACGUCUUUCCACACAAACCGCCAUCUCAAGACUCCACACGACCCAACGCUUUAGGAUCUGAACGCAUCCUUUCGCGAGUCCCUAAGUGAAGGAUCCUUGGGACUAGCAGAAAAUAAAUAAACUCAAACAAGAAUGGCAUGAACUAAAUAAAAGAGACACAUGAUAAUCCACCAAUUGUCAUGAACUUAAGACACAUAUAAAAACAAUUAUCCACCAAUUGUUAUGAACUUAAAGAUACAUACAUACACACAUGAUGACCCACUAUACAGAGAAAGUCGUGAAUGAAGAGACUACAGUGGACCUUAUAUUUAGCACAAAAAAGGUAUCAAAGAAGUUAAUAGGUAAAUGGAGGUGUUAGUUUAGUGAGAUUGGCAAUUUUUAGGGUGGUGGGACUGUGUGUGUGUGUGUGUGUGUGUGUGUGUGUGUGUGUGUGUGUGUGUGUGUGUGUGAAGGGGUCAGUUUAAGAAGUGUGUUAUAGAGGAUAGAAAUAAUGAUGAUGAUUAUUGGGGUGCUCUUUCUUGGCGCAGGAUAGAAAUGAGAAAAUGCACUAAAAUGAGGGUCUACUAUUCUAAUGGGAAGGGUUCAAGCGUCCAUUCCAACACAAGACAGCAAGGUAAUGUGUGUUUGUGUAUGUAAAGGGGUCAGCUUAAAGAGUGUGUUAUAGAGGAUAGAAAUAAGAAAAUGGACUAAAAUGAGGGUCUACUAUUCUAAGGGGAAGGGCUCGAGUCCGUUCCAACAAAAGACAGCAAGGUAAUGUAAGUUUGUGUGGGAAGGAAUAAGCUUUACGACAUGUUAUAAGGAAAUCGUUUAAAGACAAAUGCACUAAAUAGAGGGUCCACUGCACUAAAGAAGAACAGAUGUAGGGCAGUAAGGUUAAGUGACUCUAAUACAGCCUUCCCUUACUGUAUGUUGUGUGUGUGAAUGAUAUGAACUCAAGGACAUGUUAAAGAGAAAUCCUACACAUGAAAUGCAAUAAAUAGAGGGUCCAAACAUAAGACAGUGAGGGAAAGUGACCCUAAAACAGCCUUCCCUUACUGUAUGUUAUGUGUGAAUGAUAUGAACUCAAGGACAUGUUAUAGAGAAAUCCUACACAUGAAAUGCAAUAAAUAGAGGGUCCAAACAUAAGACAGUGAGGUUAAGUGACCCUAAAACAGCCUUCCCUUACUGUAUGUUGUGUGUGUGAAU